UGCCUAUGAUGCAUUCAUAUUGCACGUAUUAUCAGAUGAAGGAUGAUGAUAAUACUUGAUAUUGUCACUACCUCUGAGGCA
Molecule: small nucleolar RNA, 81 nt
Filed under: Ipomoea nil (Japanese morning glory)
Lineage: Eukaryota; Viridiplantae; Streptophyta; Magnoliopsida; Solanales; Convolvulaceae
Description: Small nucleolar RNA snoR122
Rfam family: Small nucleolar RNA snoR122
Source: Rfam by way of RNAcentral